Small nuclear RNA from Lemur catta (Ring-tailed lemur), 107 nucleotides. Lineage: Eukaryota; Metazoa; Chordata; Mammalia; Primates; Lemuridae. The record is from RefSeq and is a predicted model, not a curated record.
GUGCUCGUUUUGGCAGCACAUACACUAAAACUGAAACGAUACAGAAAAGAUCGGCAUGGCCCCUAUGCAAGCAUGACACGUACAUUCACAGAGCAUUCUAUAUUUUU